Long non-coding RNA from Esox lucius (northern pike), 540 nucleotides. The record is from Ensembl. Lineage: Eukaryota; Metazoa; Chordata; Actinopteri; Esociformes; Esocidae.
CUGGACUCCCCGCCUGCCUCUUGCCUGCCGGAUCAGUUUGGAACCUCGAGUGACCAGGGUGGUCCGGGUCGGCCGCGAUCUUUCCUGUACGUUUUCUCACCCUGGAGUCAUGUCGGACCUUGAUGGAGGUGGCAACCGAUGAGACUUUCUGCUUAACGUACAACGGGCCGCGACUUACCCCCGCAGCGGGCACGGCCGCAGGAAGACGUUAACAGCGUGUGGGAGGAAGGCAACGCCUGUUUCGUUAGCAUGUGGAGGCAGUAAAUCAGUAGCGCGUGACGCAAGUACAGGGGAGCUCCAGUCCCCCGGGCACUCCCACUUCCCCCGGCUGUGGUAGACACACACCCAAACCAGAUGGUGAUGGAGGAGGUGAGGGUGGUCUCUGUGAUGGAUGAAUAAUCCCGGAUCACGUUGGAUUGGGAGAUCUAUCAGAAAUCAAGACUCAUCAGACCAGGCAACAUUCUUCCAGUCUUCAACUGUCCAAUUUUGGCAUGGUGUAUGGUAGAUGCCUUGCACAGAGGGAAGAUGGCAGCCGAUGAU